Long non-coding RNA from Amphiprion ocellaris (clown anemonefish), 3787 nucleotides. RefSeq lists it as uncharacterized. Lineage: Eukaryota; Metazoa; Chordata; Actinopteri; Pomacentridae. The transcript has 4 exons. The record is from RefSeq and is a predicted model, not a curated record.
CUGCUGGAGCGCUGAAGUUAGCUUCUGACCCGACAGUUAAGGGUUAGGAUAAGGGAAAUGGGUCUGUGUAUAUUUUGGCAAUUGGGUUUUCCGUUCUGAAACGGGUAUUGAGAAACAACAAGCGAGUGGUUAUUUGAUUUAGAAUAACAAAUAAAUAAAAUCAGUGAGAGGGAAACGAAAAAAGGUCAGUUUUCUCAUUUUCUGAGACCGGAAACGGUCAUCAGCAAGUGUGGAUCAUGGUGCAUAGACUGUAUUUUUUUUUCCGUUAGUUUUCAUGGUCAAAAUGAGAGAUCAGGUGGCCGAUCUUAAAAUAAAUCAAUAUUGAAUUUUUUAUAGAGCGUUAAAGUUUUGCGAAGCCGGGGGGCGGGUUUACUUGAUUGACAGUCUGGUCUGGAACGAUUGAGGGGUCCUAUGGAGGAGGCAGCAGAGACUCUGUUCUCUUUGUUUGGAUUAAUUCUGAUAUAAUAACUGUUGGUUUAUUUAUCGGUGGAGCGGCAGAACCUUUUCCACAAACAGUUUUCCUGCCCAUUGGCUUGUUUUAACCAGUUUUCUGCGUUCGACUGAUUCUACCAGCAGACACUGAAAGGACUCUGAUAGUGUCUCAUGUUCACUGUGAGGAUCUUCUGAUUGAAGCCAGCAGAAGGAAAACCUCAUCUGGUUGUGAAGAAGGAGACUGAAUGGAAGACAUCCUCAGUGAAUCACUUCCUGUUCAGCUUUCACUUACAGAAGGACAGACCAACUCUUUCAGCUGUUUAUUAUUCUCUGUUCUUAGUAUUCACAGGUUCCAUUUAUCACCUUUAACUUCAUCCCUGCUGUUGUAGCAGAACUACAAUAUAAAAAGUCCAUGUUAUUUAUAGCAGAUAUGCAGCAUUAAAACAUCAACACAUUCAGGUCAAGAGCUUCAUUAUUAUCUUUAUUGCACAUUUUAAAACUACAUUAUUUAACUAUUGUGAACUGUAAAGAUGUGUACACACAUGAAAUAAAUGGAUGAAAUAAAUAAUGUGUUGCUGACAGUGAGGUGUAAAUACUGAACAGUCACAAAUAAUUCCGCUAACUUGACUGAACGUGGCUGCAGUUCCCGUUAUUUAAACAUGAAUAUUGUUACUGUCCAAAGACAGUGGUUUUUGGAAUUUCAAGUUGGUUGUUUUUUGUGUUUAUUUUUUAUAUGUUUGAAUUUUGUAUUAGAAUUGUUCAUAAUGGGAGAGGUGAAUGUACACCUUUAAGAGGUCACAUGGCUGCGUUUUAGCGCGGGGUCACCCGUGUGGGAUUGUGGGUCAUAGCAGCACGGCUACGGAGGAGAACGCCAUUGUUGCUUCAGAGGACGCCAUUAUUGCUAAAGAGGACGGCAUUCUACACGGUCUGAGAGGCGCACACGGUGAAGUGACUUUUCGUUGUCUUGUUUUAAUCAGUUUUCAGUUCAGUAAUUCAGUCCUUCGGCUGAUUGGACCAACAGACACUGAAGGACUCUGACAGCUGAGUGAAAGUAGCAAUUCCUCCUUAAGGUCAGAGAUUGCAGCAUCUGAGGGCCUCUUCAAAAGAAGAUGUAGUUGAUGAAGGCGUUCUGGAGCAGGGCCAGAAAGACCACAACCAAGCAGCCUUGAGAUCUUAGGCAGCGUCUCCCUCAGACCAAAGAACUACAGACUCUUCACAACCUGCUCAAACUCUUGGUACAGGACCUCACCACACGGGUCAAGAAGGUUUCCGUCUCAUUUCUACUCUGAAGCUCACCUUCUCCUGCUCAAACUGCUGACAAAUGUUUCUGCUGCUCUAAAGUCUGGUCUCCAGAACUUCCUAAAAACUCUCAAAGUCUCUUCUGCUGCAGGUUGCUUUGUAGAACUGUUGCAGAAAACCUCACUAAACCACAUGGAGGGGCCUCAAGAUAGUCGUCCAAAUGAAACCGUACAAAAACCAAACUAACACAACCCAAACGCUAAAGUCUCCUGCAGCCUACCAGAGAACCUCUGAGAACAGAGAAUCAGAACAGGAACUCUUACCUUCUAGACAACCAGCGUUGGUUCACAAGAAUACAGAAUGUGUCUGACCAAAAACCUCUAAAGACUCACUACAGCCAAGAUAAAGACACAACUCAGCUGGACCAAAUCCACUAAUCACUGCACACAUUAGCACCAUGUGCUAACUGUGGCUAAAGAACCACCUUUACCAAGACAACUAUCCAGUACAAAGCCCUAGAACACACCAAGAAACAUAUUAAAGACGAUUUUACUGCUGGAAGCUGCAAGCCAAUGCCUAAAGAACAAACUAAAGGAAUGGAGCCAAACCCAGUUCAGUGGUGAAGAGAAACAGAGGAAAUGUUUGUCUGCAGCUAAAUAAAGCAGGAAGACACUGAGCUGCUCAGGUGUUCCUGAUAACACCAAGCAGCCACCUGGACAGCCAAUAGGAACACAGCUUACUGGAAGUCCAGAGGGCUGGGUUAGUGAAGGAAAUUUAGUUUAAAGUUGAAGCAGAAAGUUAACAAAGGAAGUUGAAAACCACCUUCUGAUACCUGAAAUCUCUGAGUUUUCACACAAAGAACACCUGAACAUGUCAAACUAGCUUCAUAGUAGAACCAUCAUUGUAAAAACGUCAUAGUAUGGUGUGUUGCUCAAAAAACAUUAUGACCUGGCUGUCUAGGGUUGCCGAAGAGCAACACAAAAACAGGACAAACGCUGGUUUCCAGGGGGUUAGGAGGCUAUUUAUUUGAAAGAGUAAGUUUACAACAACACAACAUGUGAGCAGAAAAAUCACAGUCUGUCUUUAGUUGAGCUGAAAAUAUUAGUUUUUGUCUUUUUUAUUGACCAAACUUUUCAGGAAGUAGAUGAAGAAUAAUUAAAGCUCUCAUGUAGAAGUCCAACUUAUUUUGGAUCCUUGUGGAGAGUUUAAUCUUAGAGUUUGUAAAGCUGUUGAGUUUUUAGUCACAUGGAUUGUUUUGACAUUUAAUAACCGAGUCCUGAAAUAAAAUUACAGUUGUGGAUUUCUGUCAUUUAGUCUGAACUAAACAAAUAACAGCAGCAUAAAUCUCAAACGUCAUUAUGAGAAGUCUGGAUUGAGGUUUCCCACUUGAUAAUGAUCAAAACAUGAAAUUUAGGUUGGUUUAAAGGAAUAUUCCACCUUAAAUCUUUGAAUGUUGACCUAAAAGGUUGGUUUCAGGAAGUAUUCCACCUACAAGGUCCUCAAACAUCCACCUUAAAGGAACAUUCCACCAAAAAUCCUUAGACAUGCACCUAAAAUGUUGGUUUAACCGAGUAUUCCAUCCAAAAUCCUCAAAGAGACCUGAGGGGCUGAUUAAAAGGAAUAUUCCACCUAAAACCUCAAAUAUAGACCCGAAAGGGGGUAGAACGUGGUAGAACGGCUCUGAAGAAUCUUGUACUUGUCUUAUCUGGAACAAUCUAACAGCCUAAACUGUUAACAGCAGUGUAAAGAAGCAAACAUACAGGCAUAGAUUAGGACUCAAACUAGAUUUAUUGUAGAAAACAAAUCAGCUUAGAGGCAUUUGUUCACACGUGGCUGAAUAGGAGGCCGUCCAAUCAGAUUCGAGGUCUUCACUCUGUAGGUUGUUUGUUGGGUGAGACUCUUUGAUCUCCAUCAGCUGACAUGGAUGUUUGAUGGUCUUCUUCUCUAGUGCCAGAUGAUUCAUCCAUGAAUUCAGCAGCUACAGACUGAAAUGAAGCUCAUGCUGCCGUUAUUGAAUUCCUGUUCCAGAUCAAAUGUUCAGAGCUCACCUUGAAUGCAGCCGUCUGCUGUCUGAUAGUUUUUCUCAUUGUAGUCUUCAAUAAAGUCUUUUUCCUCA